Molecule: ribosomal RNA, 468 nt
Filed under: uncultured bacterium
Lineage: Bacteria
Description: partial 16S ribosomal RNA
Rfam family: Bacterial small subunit ribosomal RNA
Source: RNAcentral
GACGAACGCUGGCGGCGUGCUUAACACAUGCAAGUCGAACGGAAAGGCCCUGCUUUUGUGGGGUGCUCGAGUGGCGAACGGGUGAGUAACACGUGAGUAACCUGCCCUUGAAUUUGGGAUAACUUCAGGAAACUGGGGCUAAUACCGGAUAGGAGCUCCUGCUGCAUGGGGGGGGUUGGAAAGUUUCGGCGGUUGGGGAUGGACUCGCGGCUUAUCAGCUUGUUAGUGGGGUAGUGGCUUACCAAGGCUUUGACGGGUAGCCGGCCUGAGAGGGUGACCGGCCACAUUGGGACUGCGAUACGGCCCAGACUCCUACGGGAGGCAGCAGUGGAGAAUAUUGCACAAUGGGCGGAAGCCUGAGGCAGCAACGCCGCGUGCGGGAUGACGGCCUUCGGGUUGUAAACCGCUUUCGCCUGUGACGAAGCGUGAGUGACGGUAAUGGGUAAAGAAGCACCGGCUAACUACGUG